RNAcentral lists this ribosomal RNA (405 nucleotides) under uncultured bacterium. Its description in RNAcentral is "partial 16S ribosomal RNA". It matches the Rfam family "Bacterial small subunit ribosomal RNA", at positions 30 to 526 of the family's 1533-position model. The record is from RNAcentral.
AUUGAACGCUAGCGGGAUGCUUUACACCUGCCAGUCGAACGAGUGGAAGACGGGUGAGUAAUAUAGCGGAACGUGACCAGUAGCAGGGGAUACCUACUCGAAAGAGUGGCUCAUACCGCCUACUAUUGGCAGGGCCGAUAUCGGCUUAACUAGUUGGGGGGGUAAAGGCUAACCAAGGCGACGAGCCGUAGCUGGUUUGAGAGGACGACCAGCCACACUGGGACUGAGACACGGCCCAGACGCCUACGGGAGGCAGCAGUGGGGAAUUUUGGACAAUGGGGGAAACCCUGAUCCAGCCAUCCCGCGUGUAUGAGAAGGCCUUCGGGUUGUAAAGUACUUUUGGCAGAGAAGCGGUAUCUGCAGAAUAAGCACCGGCUAACUACGUGCCAGCCGCCGCGGUAAUUC